Molecule: RNase P RNA, 341 nt
Filed under: Oscillospiraceae bacterium
Lineage: Bacteria; Bacillati; Bacillota; Clostridia; Eubacteriales; Oscillospiraceae
Description: RNase P RNA component class A
Rfam family: Bacterial RNase P class A
About the family: Ribonuclease P (RNase P) is a ubiquitous endoribonuclease, found in archaea, bacteria and eukarya as well as chloroplasts and mitochondria.
Source: RNAcentral
CGAGUGGAACAUACGGCGGCGGGACAGUUCGCAAGAACUGCCUGAGGAAAGUCCGGGCUUCACAGAGGCAUAGCAACUGCUAACGGCAGCCGGGGGCGACCCCAGGGAUAGUGCAACAGAAAGAAACCGCCGUGCUUGCACGGUAAGGAUGGAAAGGCGAGGUAAGAGCUCACCAGCGCACUGGCGACUUUGCGGCUAUGUAAACCCUGCUUGAAGCAACAUCCGUAUGGGACAUUAUGCGGAGCCUCGCGCGUCCCGGUGAUGGCGUGAGCCUUACGGCAACGUAAGGCCAAGAUAGAUCGUCGUUUGAUACAGAACCCGGCUUACGGUCCAGUCGUUUU